Molecule: ribosomal RNA, 497 nt
Filed under: uncultured bacterium
Lineage: Bacteria
Description: partial 16S ribosomal RNA
Rfam family: Bacterial small subunit ribosomal RNA
Source: RNAcentral
GAUGAACGCUGGCGGCGUGCCUAAUACAUGCAAGUCGAGCGAACAGACGAGGAGCUUGCUCCUCUGACGUUAGCGGCGGACGGGUGAGUAACACGUGGAUAACCUACCUAUAAGACUGGGAUAACUUCGGGAAACCGGAGCUAAUACCGGAUAAUAUAUUGAACCGCAUGGUUCAAUAGUGAAAGACGGUUUUGCUGUCACUUAUAGAUGGAUCCGCGCCGCAUUAGCUAGUUGGUAAGGUAACGGCUUACCAAGGCGACGAUGCGUAGCCGACCUGAGAGGGUGAUCGGCCACACUGGAACUGAGACACGGUCCAGACUCCUACGGGAGGCAGCAGUAGGGAAUCUUCCGCAAUGGGCGAAAGCCUGACUGAGCAACGCCGCGUGAGUGAUGAAGGUCUUCGGAUCGUAAAACUCUGUUAUUAGGGAAGAACAAAUGUGUAAGUAACUAUGUACGUCUUGACGGUACCUAAUCAGAAAGCCACGGCUAACUACGUG